This is a long non-coding RNA of Triticum urartu, 2507 nucleotides long. RefSeq lists it as uncharacterized. The record is from RefSeq and is a predicted model, not a curated record. NCBI's taxonomy places the organism in Eukaryota, Viridiplantae, Streptophyta, Magnoliopsida, Poales, Poaceae.
ACGAACCCCGCCCCUCCUGACCUGCCUGCUCUUGAGCCUCUCCGCCUUCCACACAGACGACAAUGGGGACGGGACACGGCGGCGCGUCAGCUUCCCAUGCUCGCCGCAGCCUUCCGGCCCUGGGACGCCAUCGGGCAUGUCGCUGCCUUCCCCGCCCGACCCGGACCGCGGGCCCCGCCACGACCCCAAGCCCUCGGAAGACAACGGGGGUCCCCAAGCCAAUUAAGGUCGAUGACCUCCCGCGCUCGCGCGCCAUGGUUUCGACGGGGAUGUGGAGGACGGCCGCUGGACGAGGCGGUCUAGGGCUUCUGACGACGAGACGGAGGACGACCGCCGGCGGAGGCGUCCUAGGGCCUCAGACGACGGGUGGGAUGACCAUCGCGACAAGCGCGACCGUGACCGGCGGCGCCGCCGUCCUAGCACCAGCUCGGAGUCGCGAAAGGUGCACCGGCCGGCGUGAACACCUCCUCCGGUCAGCGUGUUGGCUUCACGCGAUAAGGCGGGCGCCUCCACUCUCAUGCCGCCGUGAUUACUCUUCUGCAGGUCAGCCAGUGCAAAGGCGUGAACGAUUUCAGUAUUCAUCUUUGAUCUAUGUGUUGUGCUUGUGUACUGGACGUGUUAUUCGUCUUUGCUGGUGCUUUUCUACCGUUUAAUUUGCUUCGUCGGUGGACAAACGAGGUUACUGGAAGAAGGGUUGCCUGGGACUGGGAGGUUGCCACCUCCAGCAACGUAGAGGAGGGGUGUUGCCGUCCACCACAUCAUCUGGCUUGUCCCCAAAAUUGUUGAACUUCUGCUCCUGAGGAGACAAAAGGGAUGCAGCAACGGGGUGAGGUGAUCAGAGUGAUGUAUUGAAGCCUCCCGUUCCACAUGUUCAGUAGUUGCACCUCAACGUCACUUUUGAGUAGAUACUACUCGACCUUGGGAACACGUUGUGAUGCUUACGGAGGAGAUUAAGAAGGCCACCGGUUCCGUCCCUGACGUCGAGGUUACCAUCUGGUAAUUGGUAAUUUUGAUUAGUAGAUGUAUUUCACUGCGUCAUCUGUUUUGGAGUUACCUUUUAAAAUUUUAGAUCGUAGAUCCAAAGAAUGCAUCUUGCCUCAUUGUUCUAUGACAAAUCGGUUAUGCAGUUAGUUUUUCUUCACAGGUUAAUACAGGAUUUGCAUCUCAUGACUAUAUGGUUUGUAAAUCGAUUAUCUUGUCAGCAUUUCUUCACAAUUAUGAUGUUGCAUCCCCGUGCUUCUCUUAGCUUGCUGCUCAUUGCAGGUUGCAUAUCAGCUCUUUGUGAUAAUAAAUUAUGCUUGCAAUAACCGAUCAGAUGGAACGGUUACUAAAGUUUGCAACAUUUGAUCUUUAUUGUCAAAGAUAUAAGGAGCCAAGUAAGUGCCUUCUACUGUGUCUUUUGGAUUACUUGAUUGAUAGUGCAGCCAACUUUGAGUUUGCAACUCUUUUAGGCUGAUGAGAUUUUUUUAAUCUUAUAUAUGUACUUUCAGGGUAGAGGAUUGCAACUAUAUUCAUGUAUAAUUAAUGCAAACUUCCAAGGCUUUUCAGAUGGAUGUAUUAACUAUUUAUCUCCCAUUCUAUUUACAAUGCAUGAAAUUCCACCCUUGGGUUCCUCUAUGGCAAGAAAUUAGAAUUUUUAUGAUAUCUUUGGCUCUUUCUAAAUGAAACAUGUCAUGUAACUAUGGUCCCUGAGGUAGUACAAUAUAAAUUAAUUCCCUAUAUUUCUAUGAUUUAUUAUUGGAACAAAUAUUGUCAUCACAUUAGCCUAUGUGGUUAUGUUAUUGUAGAUUGUUACGUUCUCUGAGCAUGCCUACUAGCAUGUCACUUCAAUAAUUUCAGGAAAGCAUAGAAGCCAUUGUAUCUUCUUACAUCAAAUAUAUGGUGAAUGCUCACAACACAAAUGUAUUGUAGCAAUCCACAUGAUUUUUCACAUUUACUAAAUAUUUCAAUGAUUAGUCACGGAUAUGUUGCACUGUUUGCAUUAAAAGUGCACUAAGCAUAUGAGUGUCAGUGUGAUUUCAUUAAUAUAUCACUGAUUAAACAAUGUUCUUUCUUCCAUUUCCAUUGUUUAUUUUCAUUUUGUGUGCUCAACUAUAUAAAUUAUCUAUAUCCUAAAAUGUGUUGCAGUAAUGCAUAGGAACUAUUACAUCAUGCUACUUAUCACUUACAUUCUUGUGUUGUGCAGAAAGCUUUGAUUAUUUAACCUUGCUCGUGAAAAGGGGGAAAUUUGAUUGUUUAACCAUGUUGUGCCAUGAGAUUUCUUCCCCUUUUUAGUGGUGCCAAAUGAAGAUCCUUUUAGAUUGCAAUACUUCUAUGCAUGCCUUCAGCAUGCCUGGAUGUGUCUACAUCUGCAUUCCUUAAGUGUAUGAUGGCAUCAAGACUGGUAUAAUCUAGGAAGGAUAUUUUAGUUUUUGUACACUAUUACAAAUUGUGCUUUCUGAUGAACUUCAUGUAAGAUGUAGCUUCUUCCCAGGCGCCAAGGCUUCUCUUUUUUUUUGGUUUGGUUC